GCCCAGACUCCUACGGGAGGCAGCAGUGAGGAAUAUUGGUCAAUGGGCGGAAGCCUGAACCAGCCAAGUCGCGUGAGGGAUUAAGGCCCUAUGGGUCGUAAACCUCUUUUGUCAGGGAGCAAUGGCGUCCACGUGUGGGCGUAUGGAGAGUACCUGAAGAAAAAGCAUCGGCUAACUCCGUGCCAGCAGCCGCGGUAAUACGGAGGAUGCGAGCGUUAUCCGGAUUUAUUGGGUUUAAAGGGUGCGUAGGCGGGACCUUAAGUCAGCGGUAAAAUUGCGGUGCUCAACGCCGUAGAGCCGUUGAAACUGGGUGCCUUGAGUGGGCGAGAAGUACGCGGAAUGCGUGGUGUAGCGGUGAAAUGCAUAGAUAUCACGCAGAACUCCGAUUGCGAAGGCAGCGUACCGGCGCCCAACUGACGCUGAAGCACGAAGGCGUGGGUAUCGAACAGGAUUAGAUACCCCCGUAA
RNAcentral lists this ribosomal RNA (467 nucleotides) under uncultured bacterium. Its description in RNAcentral is "bacterial SSU rRNA". It matches the Rfam family "Bacterial small subunit ribosomal RNA", at positions 329 to 793 of the family's 1533-position model. The record is from RNAcentral.